CUAGUUUUGCUGAUCGUCUCGUAUAUCCCAAAAACUAACGAGGAACAAAUAAUUUCGUUAAUUAGUCUACAUAUGAAUUUUAUACUCUUUAAACAAAAGGGUGCUGAUUCUUCCAUGGUUGUUUUAACUUUUUCCACUGGAAAAUUAAUUCAAAUGACAAAUAUACCCUUGGUUUAAAUAUAAUACUAACAUUGAGAUAAUCAUAUUGAAGAGAGAGAGAAAUAUCCCAUUAAAUUGUUUCCAAAACUACGUCCGCGUUCUUCCUCGUUUGGCUCUACAAAGACAUCUUUUCCUUUCCGUGCUGCAAUCUUCACCAAUGCAGACUCUUCAAAAGCUUGUCUCACAUGUUUUACUAGAUUAAGGGUAAACUGGGGUUGCAGGUUUCAACAACAUCACAAGGUAUUGUAGACGAGUAUUAUGGUCAUGUCGACAAUGGGAACUCUAGGGAUCGGAUUUUACAGACAGGAUCUUCCAGCGGGAAUGUAUUAGUUCUAACAUAUUAUGCGUCAAUUCAUCCUUUCCCCUACAGGUUUCACCAUCCAAUUUAUAAGUUAAUAAAACCAUUUUCGUUUCACUAGUGAAUUGUAAUCGUGAUUAUAUGCAAUUUGCAUGUUGUUUCUUGCCAAGAUUGAGUUGCCGAUUACUAGAAAUGUGAGGUUUAACAAGCUCUACUAUCUCUGCUCUACUUAGUGGCUUCCCAAGCACUUCCUCCGUUAGCUCCACUUCAAAUUCCCAAACUCAUAUGGUUUUAGCAUCUCCAAUUGCUUGGAAUUGGAAUAGUUACCCAGAUUCAAUGACUCGAAAAGCUUAAUCUUCUUGGUUGAUUUCUUCAAUGGAGCCUUGUUGGUCUAAGGCCUUGGCAUAAUGGGUGGUGCAAAUGGCAGAAAAGCCGGCUCUCGAAUGGCAAUUGGCUUGGCUAGGUGAAUUUCAAAGUAAUGGCAUUAUUCCGUUUCGCCUGCAUUUUAGUGAAACUCUUCCUCACAACCGAUAAGUCCUUGAAGGAUUCAAAUGGGUUGGUGAUGGUCCUUCUCUUUUUUGAGUUGUACACCAUCAUAGAACGACAAGUGUUCGGGAUGUGAGCUUAUGGGUAUUUUUUACUCCAUGGUUGCAAUCAUCUCUAUUCAGGUCUAUGGAAGUGUUUUCCUCACCCCCACAUCGAUGGUUGAUCUGAUCCGUGGUUUGCCCCAACAUAUGAUUUUAUUGGUUCAUCAAGGUCGGUCAUCGAGGUGAUAGUUCUUGCAGAGAGCCUUGAGGGGAAUAGUUCAGUCCUUUUCCUUUUUAGGGAAGAUCUACUAAGGCAGGGGUUAUGUUCUUCUGGUGUACUGUUUGGGAUUGGGCUAUGAGGUCUAUUAGAAAAAAGGGCCCAAAACAGCCGGUCAACACUAAAUAAAUAUUGUUCCAUCAAUUCUUAAUUUCUUUUUGCAAAUAAUAAAUAUGUAAUAGUAGGUUGAUUGUAAACCCCGGUAAUUUGUUGAAAUCAAUGAAAAUAAUUUAAUGAA
Lactuca sativa (garden lettuce) is the source of this 1499-nucleotide non-coding RNA. NCBI's taxonomy places the organism in Eukaryota, Viridiplantae, Streptophyta, Magnoliopsida, Asterales, Asteraceae. The record is from RefSeq and is a predicted model, not a curated record.